Molecule: small RNA, 295 nt
Filed under: Arabidopsis thaliana (thale cress)
Lineage: Eukaryota; Viridiplantae; Streptophyta; Magnoliopsida; Brassicales; Brassicaceae
Description: ATSL233150
Source: RNAcentral
UUCUUACACAAGACACGAAAAUGUUUGCGAUCAAAACUUCAAAUGAUUAAGCAUUUUAUAAUUUAAUUUGGAUAACGGAUACAUUUUUCCAGGCAAAGGUAACGAUUAUGUUUGGAAAAUCUGAAUCAAGAUGACAUCAUCGUGAACAUAAUUACAUUUUAAGACGGAGCAGAACAACGAGACAAACUACGAAUACAUUGAAAAAACAUAUGCAGAUCCUGCUGAUUUAUGACAAGAAAUUAACUAGUUUUUAUAAUCACACAUGGAAGUACUAUGACUACUACUUCUACAUCAU